Molecule: ribosomal RNA, 300 nt
Filed under: uncultured Streptomyces sp.
Lineage: Bacteria; Bacillati; Actinomycetota; Actinomycetes; Kitasatosporales; Streptomycetaceae
Description: bacterial SSU rRNA
Rfam family: Bacterial small subunit ribosomal RNA
Source: RNAcentral
GCAAAUACCGGUCCACAAGCGUGGUGAAAACAAAAGUUGCAAUCGUUAGUGUGAAUUACGGGGCGGAAAGGGGGCGUAGGCGGGUCGUUAAGUCGGCCUUGAAAUCCCCGGGCUCAACCGUGGAAUGGCGUUGGAGACUGGAUAGCGAGAGUGUGGCAGAGGAUGGGGGAAUUCCCGGUGUAGCGGUGAAAUGCGUAGAGAUCGGGAGGAACAGCAGUGGCGAAGGCGGCCAUCUGGGACAACACUGACGCUGAAGCACGAAAGCGUGGGGAGCAAACAGGAUUAGAUACCCGAGUAGUC